GCGGCCGCUGGAUCCUGCAAGUCGAGCGGUAGCACAGAGAGCUUGCUCUCGGGUGACGAGCGGCGGACGGGUGAGUAAUGUCUGGGAAACUGCCUGAUGGAGGGGGAUAACUACUGGAAACGGUAGCUAAUACCGCAUAAYGUCGCAAGACCAAAGUGGGGGACCUUCGGGCCUCAUGCCAUCAGAUGUGCCCAGAUGGGAUUAGCUAGUAGGUGGGGUAACGGCUCACCUAGGSGACGAUCCCUAGCUGGUCUGAGAGGAUGACCAGCCACACUGGAACUGAGACACGGUCCAGACUCCUACGGGAGGCAGCAGUGGGGAAUAUUGCACAAUGGGSGCAAGCCUGAUGCAGCCAUGCCGCGUGUGUGAAGAAGGCCUUCGGGUUGUAAAGCACUUUCWGCGRGGAGGAAGGCGAURARGUUAAUAACCUUGUCGAUUGACGUUACCCGCAGAAGAAGCACCGGCUAACUCCRUGCCAKCRGCCGCGGUAAUACGGAGGGUGCAAGCGUUWAUCGRAAUUACUGGGCGUAAAGCGCAMGCRGCGGUCUGUCMMGUCGAWGUGAAAUCCCCGGGCUCMACCUGGGAACUGU
RNAcentral lists this ribosomal RNA (590 nucleotides) under Klebsiella pneumoniae. RNAcentral describes it as "partial 16S ribosomal RNA". It matches the Rfam family "Bacterial small subunit ribosomal RNA", at positions 39 to 624 of the family's 1533-position model. The record is from RNAcentral. Lineage: Bacteria; Pseudomonadati; Pseudomonadota; Gammaproteobacteria; Enterobacterales; Enterobacteriaceae.